Molecule: long non-coding RNA, 1311 nt
Organism: Branchiostoma floridae (Florida lancelet)
Lineage: Eukaryota; Metazoa; Chordata; Leptocardii; Amphioxiformes; Branchiostomatidae
Exons: 3
Source: RefSeq, a predicted model, not a curated record
AUCUGCUUGUGAAACUGUUACCUUAAAUUUUCUCUUUGUCGUCCGAUCCCUUAAUUGAGUGGUAGAAUAGUUCCCUCCGGUGUAACCUUUGUCUUUCCAACACCUACCUGCACACAAAUAUCAUUAGAUUACAAUCCAUCCAGAGGUUCUUAAGUUAUGUUGACCACGAAUACGUGGAAACACAGACAGACUUGGACACACGGACAUACCAAAAGCAAAACCUCCAGUAUUCACGGAGGUAACGAGGCCUGCUUAUUCACGUGGCCACGUUCUUACUUAAUCAAUUACACAAUACAGACAAUCAAGUCCAACACUCAAUUACAUAACGGAUAUGAAAUCAGAAAAAAAAUCACUCUGAAAAGGAAGUGUGGGGGUACAUGGAUAAGUUUCGGUGGAAGUAAUUUAUUUCUUCAAUUUGGUAUAAUAGUAUGUGUACGUGAGGUAAUCAAACUGCGUUGAUUACAUCAACGGUUGUUGCGCAUUGCGGCAAAUCAGGGUGGAGGGGUUGGAUAUAGGUGAAAAGUAACAACACUAAAAUAAAGUCUGAAUUGUAAGGGCUGCUGCAUGGAAAGAAAAUGACCGCGAAGGAUGUCAUUUCUUUCAUUCUAACGGAAAUAAGAGACUUGUAAAUGGAACAGUGGCAGAAUCAGAAGUAUCAAAAGUAAGCACAGUAAGUAUAUCCUGGCUGUGUACAAACAUUCUUAACAAACGUUAUCCAUCCCUCACUACUGUUUUACCCUCAUAUUCUUUCCAUCCCAUCGGGUUCUGCUAUGAAUUAGCACAAUAUAUCUACGUAUAGAACUGUCUAAGUUGACAAACUACUAGCUGAAAUUAUGGCAAAAAAAUCAAACAAGGGUUUCAACUUCCACCGCCAAAUUAGUGACAUAAAACAAAGUUGGACUGACGUCUGUAGCGUUGCCAUGGCUACAGACCGAGAGUGUUGAGAGGAGUGCGGCACGUCGGGAAGAACAGACCAGAAACAGGAAAGUGCAGAGACGACAACUUUCGUUUUCAUGUCCCGAGGAAAGUAAGAUGCAGCCAUGAGAACAAACAACCGCCGCCGCCUGAUCCACCGAGACUGCUGGCCGUUUUCCGGGCUGUUCCUGUUGAGACGCAGCACCCCUGCCGCACAAGGCCGUGGUGGACGGGAGGGGCGACCUCCGUAGCCGGAGAGCCAGCCGGCUGGUUGUCCGCCCUCCCCGACUAUAGGGGAUAACAACCCUGCAGCAGACAGCGGCACAGACCGUUUAGACAGAACUUAGCUGUUAUAUAGUUUCAUGUCUAGCAUGUUAAAUGUAGUACAGCAGGUGG